UACUCAUCAAGAGUGAUGGAGGGACUGGCCCUAUGAAAUCCGGCAACCAAGUUUAUACUAUGGUGCUAAAUCCAGCGGUAUAUGAUACCGAGAAGAUGAGAG
Molecule: non-coding RNA, 102 nt
Filed under: Gottschalkia purinilytica
Lineage: Bacteria; Bacillati; Bacillota; Tissierellia; Tissierellales; Gottschalkiaceae
Description: Clostridium purinilyticum SAM-I sequence
Rfam family: SAM riboswitch aptamer (S box leader)
About the family: The SAM riboswitch is found upstream of a number of genes which code for proteins involved in methionine or cysteine biosynthesis in Gram-positive bacteria.
Source: Rfam by way of RNAcentral